GGGCCUUGCGCGUUUUGAGUGGCCCAAGUGGGAUUAGCUAGUUGGUAAGGUAAUGGCUUACCAAGGCGACGAUCCCUAGCUGGUCUUAGAGGAUGACCAGCCACACUGGAACUGAGACACGGUCCAGACUCCUACGGGAGGCAGCAGUGGGGAAUAUUGCACAAUGGAGGAAACUCUGAUGCACCCAUGCCGCGUGUGUGAAGAAGGCUUUCGGGUUGUAAAGCACUUUCAGUGGGGAGGAAAGGGUGAUGCUUAAUAAGUAUCAUCUGUGACGUUACCCACAGAAGAAGCACCGGCUAACUCCGUGCCAGCAGCCGCGGUAAUACGGAGGGUGCGAGCGUUAAUCGGAAUUACUGGGCGUAAAGCGCGCGUAGGUGGUUAAUUAAGUCAGAUGUGAAAGCCCAGGGCUCAACCUUGGAACUGCAUUUGAAACUGGUUAACUAUAGUUUUGUAGAGGGUGGUAGAAUUUCAGGUGUACCGGUGAAAUGCGUAGAGAUCUGAAGGAAUACCAGUGGCGAAGGCGGCCACCUGGACAAAGACUGACACUGAGGCGCGAAGGCGUGGGGAGCAAACGGGAUUAGAUACCCCGGUAGUCCACGCAGUAAACGAUGUCUAUUAA
RNAcentral lists this ribosomal RNA (619 nucleotides) under Psychromonas sp. COL-9. Its description in RNAcentral is "bacterial SSU rRNA". It matches the Rfam family "Bacterial small subunit ribosomal RNA", at positions 208 to 819 of the family's 1533-position model. The record is from RNAcentral. Lineage: Bacteria; Pseudomonadati; Pseudomonadota; Gammaproteobacteria; Alteromonadales; Psychromonadaceae.